RNAcentral lists this small nuclear RNA (324 nucleotides) under Anolis carolinensis (green anole). RNAcentral describes it as "7SK RNA". It matches the Rfam family "7SK RNA". From Rfam's summary of the family: 7SK was discovered as an abundant small nuclear RNA in the mid-70s but a possible function has only recently been suggested. The record is from Rfam by way of RNAcentral. Lineage: Eukaryota; Metazoa; Chordata; Lepidosauria; Squamata; Anolidae.
AGAUGUGAGGAUGAUCUGGCUGCGACAUCUGUCACCCCAUUGAUCACCAGGGUUGAUUUGGCUGAUCUGGCUGGCUGGGCAGGUGUCCCCUUUCUCCCUCACUCCAUGUGUCCUACCUGAAGCUGCAUGCUCAGUGGAAGAAGACGACCUCCCAGAUGUAGAAGGAGCGUCCUGAGGUCUCCAGUCUUCAGUACCGGGUAUACAAUAGCUGUACUCCCCUACUAGAACCUCCAAGCAAGUUCAAGGUCCAUUUGUAGGAGAACGUAGGGUAAUAUAGUUCUCUUGUGGUUGCCUUUCCAAGUGAUACCCUUCCUCUGAUUUCUU